Long non-coding RNA from Neofelis nebulosa (Clouded leopard), 6968 nucleotides. RefSeq lists it as uncharacterized. The transcript is spliced from 3 exons. NCBI's taxonomy places the organism in Eukaryota, Metazoa, Chordata, Mammalia, Carnivora, Felidae. The record is from RefSeq and is a predicted model, not a curated record.
UGUGUAACUUUUGUUUUCUCUAUAGGUAAUAAUCGUCUUUUUUCUUUUCUUAGUUUUCUUAGUGGUUACUAUUAAUUCAGUUACCAACCUCUUUGUGAGUUGUCUAAAUCUCUUGGGUAUGUCCAGACAUAUGUCCUAGAGGUAGAUACUCUAUUCAGUGGUCUGUGCAUCUCAUCUAUCUCCCUGUCUUCCCUGGCCACAUGCCCAAGGCCAUCACUGCUUCCUCUUCCUGGUGUGGAGACCAUAGUUACUUUGUUUUGUUUCUUCAAGCCACAGCAGUCUGGUUUCCACAUGCCCCACGGCUCUGCAGUGACCUUUGUCAAGGUCAGGUUUGUGUUGCUAAAUCUGAUGGGCACUUUUCUUUUUCAUCUUUAUGUCUCAGCUGCAUUUCACACCCUGGACAUUGGACUUCCUUGAAGCAGUUUUUUAUUUUUUAUUUUUUUAUUUUAUCAUCUGUAUCUACCUUGGGUUGUGUUCUUCCAGAAGCAGACCCUGAGGAAAGAUUUGGAGAGAGACAGAGACAGAGCAUGAGCGGGGGAGGGGCAGAGAACGAGAGGGAGACACAGAAUCUGAAGCAGGCUCCAGGCUCUAAGCUGGCAGCACAGGGCCCGAUGCGGGGCUCGAACUCACAGACCGAGAGAUCAUGACCUGAGCCGAAGUCAGACGCUCAACCGACUGAGCCACCCAGGCGCCCCAUUGAGUUCUUAAUAAUGCCACUGAGCUGCUGAGUACCCAACUCUGGAACCCACCUCUGGUUUUGUUCUGUGAUAUGAUACACUGGUUAAGGUUUGAAUUUGUAUCUCCGUUAUUUGUAGUCCAAAGCAUCCCGACAGACAUAAGCACUGUUGCAAAAAACUUGGUAUAUAAUUAUAUAUAACUUUUAUGUGCUUCAGUUUCUUCAUCUCUAAAAUGGGGGUUAUAAUAUCUUCUUCAUAAGAUUUCUAUGAAGAUUGGAAGAGUUAACACACUUAGAACUGGCACAGAAUAAACAAUCAAUGUUGGUUGUAAUUGGUGUUUUAUUAUUAUUAUUUUAAAAUAUAAUGUGUUAUUAUAAUAUGUGUUCACUAUUUGUCCUAUGUUAUUAAAAUGUUCAAUUUUCAGAAUUUGGCAUUUUUCUAUUUUUGGUAUUUUCUAUUUUUACAUUAAUGUAUCAUGAUCAGAGAAUAGGGCAUUAUUUCUGCUCUUUUGUGGCAUAAAAUUGGAAUGGUUUUUGUAAAAUGUGCUUCAGUGUUUAAAAAACUAUAUUCUAUUUCUGAAAAUUAAUCUUUAAUAUAUGUCUAUUAAUGCUGCCUAUUAAUUCAGAUCAAUCAGUUCAUUCCAUGUCUAUAACUAAAUCUGAACUUGUUCUACCUUUUCUACUUUCUAAAUUUUUCCAAGAUUCACCUCUCCCUUCCAGGUUCUAAAUGGACAUUAUUCCAACUUCUUCUCAAAUUCCAGUUUGUUUCUAGACUCAGUGCUUUACCUCUAAGACCUUUGUGUUCUAUACUCUUAAAAUAACUUUCAUUAUCAAGAUUCUGGAAGAAGACUUGGAGCUAUGGCUUUUCUAGCAUCACUAGUGGACCCCAUUUUAUUCUUUUUAUCUAUAUAUUUAUUUUGGACCCCUUGUUAAACCACACUUCUUUUUGUUCUGUUUGUGAGCAGGAAGUGUCUGAAACCAGAUGUUCCUCCUUUCUAUAUGCUGUCAAAAUUUAGCCUCCUUCCCUCCCCCCACAUUGUUCCGGGCAUUCAGCUUUUGGCCACAUUAUUGCUCCAGUUCUCUGUUGCAAUGGUUCUUACACUUUUAUAUCUGCAGACUAAUUUUUUUGAGAGCAGAAGACACUAUGGAACCACCCACUACAGCUUAUCUAGGCUUCAUUGACAUUUUUAUGACCCAGGAAAGGAGUUUUCAGUGUGAGCUAAAGAGCUAAGAGUGAGACCAGUUCUACAACAAUAUCUUUGGUACUUUUCCUUACUGUUUCCUUUUUUCUUACUCCUUAUUUGCAACAUUCUUUGUCUUAUCCUGAAUUGAAGUUUCAGUUAUUAUUUAUUCAAUCAACAUUUGCUAAGCUUUAUUUAAUGUGUCAUGUACCAUGCUUAGUCUUGAGUAUAUACAUUUGGAUAAUUAAAAAUUGUUGCCUUCUUGAAUCAUGAUCUCAUGGUUAGUGGGAUUGAGCCCCGUGUUGGGCUCUGCGGUGACCACAGGGAGCCUGCUUGGGAUUCUCUCUCUUUCCCAAAAUAAACAUUUUAAAAAGUCAUUAAGAAUUUUAAAGAAUUUAAGGAAUUAAAAUCCAACCAAUAGAGACAUCAACAUAAAGCAGCUGGUAUUACUGCUGUCUGUCUAUAGCUCUUUUGUACAAAGGUCUCAGUGAUGAGUCUUCUACUGGAGUGCUAUGAAAUGAAAACAAAUCUUUUUUUCUUUUUAAAAAAAUGUUUAUUUAUUCAUUUUGAGAGAGAAAGAGAGAGCCCAAGCGAGCUGGGGAGGGCCAGAGGGGGAGAAUCUUUAUUUCUGCUCAGAUCAUGAUCCCAGAGUCCUGGGAUCCAGUCCCAAGUAGAGCUCCACGUGGAGUGUGGAGCUUGCUUGGGAUUCUCUCUGUCUCUCUCUCUCUCAAAUAAUAAUAAUCAUAAAGUAGAAAAAAAUUUUACUUGCUCAUAUUUCAAUAUUUCUAAAAAUCACUACUUUCUAGAUUCUUUGCCAAGGAAAUGCAAUCAGCAAAUACUUCUUGGGAAGAUAGCUUUAGUUCUUAUCUUAUGUGAAUUAUGUCUAAUGAUACACACACAUGUACAUAUAAAAUACAAUUAAAAUACUUCUUAAAAAUGUAAAAAAAAUUGUUGCCUUCAAUAAGCUAUAGUGGGAGAAAUAAUCUCAUAAACACUUAAUGAGAAUACAGUGUAAGAACUGCUAAUAGAGCUGUGAACAAGAGAGCCUGGGUCUGAAUAGGGAAAUCAGGGCAAGCUUCUCAGAAGAGGUGACAGUUUGAUUGACCUUUGGAGGAGUUUCUAGCAAGUUUUUAGAAGUAAGAGUUAAUAGGGAUAACAAAGAGAGGCAGAAGGAAGGCAUUCUACAUAUGUUCAAUGGUAGGUUGUAGUUACAUAAAGCUUCCGAAUAAAUGACUCCAAACUGAGUGGCUUAAUCAUUGCUGGUGGACAUGCAAAAUGGCCCAGCCACUUUGGAAGACAGUUUGGUGGUUUCUUACAAAAUUAAAUAUACUUUACCAUACAAUGCAGCAAUCAUGCUUCUUGAUAUUUAACCAAAGGAACUGAAAGCUUAUGUCCACACAAAACCCUGAACAUGGAUGCUUAUAGCAGCUUUAUUCAUAGCUGUCAAAACUUGGAAACAACUGAGAUAUCCUUCAGUAGGUGAAUGGAUAAACUGUGGUACACCCAGACAAUGGAAUAUUAUUCAGUGCUAAAAAGAAAUGAACUAUCAAAUCAUGAAAACACAUGAAGGUUUCUUAAACAUUUGUUAUUAAGUGAAAGAAGCCAGUCUGAAAAGGUUACAUACUGUAUAAUCCCAGCUCUAUGACAUUUUGGAAAGUACAAAUCUAUGGAGGCAUCAAAUAUAUCACUUUGGUGGAAGAUGCUGAUAAUGGAGGAGGCUAUACUCAUGUACAGAUAGGAGAUGUAUGGGAAAUCUUUCUAUCUUCCUAUCAAUUUUGCUGUCAACUUAAAACCACUCUAAAAAAUAAAAGCUUUCUAAAUUCCCCCCCCCCCCCCAAAUAAUGAUUUAUUCCAUGAUUUAUGUGGGUCAGGAAAUUGGGGAUUGUGUGACUGAGCAGUUCUGACUUAGUGUCUCUCAUGACGUUGUGGUCAGAUGUUAGCCAGGGCUGCAGAUAUCUGAAAGCUUGACUGGUGUUGAAGGAUCUAUUUCCAAAGUAGCUCACUCACAUAGAAGGUGAGUUGGUAUUGGCUAUUGAUGGGAGACCUCAGUUCUUCCCCAUCAGGGCCUCUUUACAGGGUAGCUUAAAUGUCUUCACAGCAUGGUGGGUGGCUUCCUCCAGAGUCCAGAGCUAGCAAUCCAAGGGACUAAGGCAGAAGCUUAAAUGCCUUGGAAGCCACACACCUUCACUUCUUUUGCAUUUUAUUAGUUACCCAGGCCAGCCAUAAUUCAAUAUGGAUGGGGUGUGAAUAUUAAGAGAGGAAAAUCAUUAGGAGACAUCUCGAAUGCUGGCUACCACAUACGGCAUGCUAAAUGUAACUGAUGCAGUGAGCUUGGGUUAUGUAAAUGGUUAGGAAUGAGGCUGAAAGUUACCUAUGUACUAAAUUAUCAGGGGCUAAGGAGUUGGCUUUUAACAGUUGGUGGUAGGAAAUAUUGAAAGAUUUUAAAGAAGGCACCUCUAGAGGGUUGAACUGUCUCUUCUUAUCUAAAUUUGUCAGCAAGGUAUCCAACACAUUUAAAUAAGCUCCAAACGUUCUCUGCUUUUUCUUUGGCCUAUUUGAAAAUUCACAUAGAUUUACAUACAUCCCAUUGUUUAACUUGUGUUAGGCUGACAUUUGGAAACUGUUAGUUUGUAUCAUACGCCAGCUUGGAUAUUCUUCCACUAUGUAAAACUUAACAUCUCUGUAUUAGUUGGGAUACUUACAGUUGCAAAUAAAAAAUUCUACUCACAAUGACUUAAGCAAUAAAAAUAAUUUACUGGCUCAUGCAACUGGAUAGUUCAGAGAUAGAAUUUCAGAUGUGGUUUGAUCCAGAGUUUCACAUUUUCAGGAGGCAUCUGGCUCUGUUUCUAUGCUGUGUUGCUUUAUCCACAAGUGGAAUUUCUUAAUGGUAGCAAAAAUGUCUGCAGUGGUUCCAAGUUUUAUAUUACACUGGAAAGAGAAAAAACUCUUUGUCCUCAGAUCCACUUUGAUGAGUCUGGCUUAGGUCACAUGCUCACACUUAAACCAUUUGCUGAAGUGAGGGGUAUGGAAUAUAAAGAUUGGCUUAGUUUAGUUCAUAUGCUCCACCCUUGGAGCUGGAGAGAACCUUACAUCACAUAGUUCUCUAAAUGGAUAUUAAGAGUUGCUGGGAAGAGGAAAUUGGAUGCUGGGAAGGUUACACGGAUGACGGGGAUUAAGGAGUGCACUUGUGAUGAGCACUGGGUGAUGUUGGAAUUGUUUGAUCACUAUAUUGUACACCAGAAACUAAUAUUACACAGUAUGUUAAUUAACUGAAAUUUAAAUAAAAACUAAGAAAAAAAGAGUUGCUGGGAAGAUGGAAAUUGGAUGCUGGGGAGGCAACCACAAGUGUCCAAUACAAAAUUAAACUGUGAUGUGGUUCAUCUAAACAACAUUUCCUGAGACCCAGCAAAAUAUAGUGUUGGGUCCUGGGAUAGAGCCAUAUUGUACACAUACAAUAUAUGUGUAUAUAUUCACUACACCAUAUAAGGUAUAUUUCUAGCUCAAGGACUACAGUGACAGGGGUGUGAUCUACUCUUUCACUCUUCUUUCUUCUCUUUCCUCUUCUUAAAUUUUUUUAAAUUAAUUUAUUUUUUAGACAGAGAGAGGGCAUAUUUGCAGAUGACAUAAUAGUCUAUGUGGAAAACCCAAAAGACUCCACCAAAAAACUGCUAGAACUGAUACAAAAAUUCAGCGAAAUUGCAGGAUAUAAAAUGAAUGUACAGAAAUCAGUUGCAUUUCUAUAUAUCAAUAAUGAAGCAGCAGAAAGAGAAAUCAAGGAAUUGAUACUAUUUACAAUUGCACCAAAAAACAUAAGAUAAAAGAUCUGUACGCUGAAAACUACAGAAAGCUUAUAAAAGAAAUUGAAGACACAAAGAAAUGGAAAAAUAUCCCAUGCUCAUGGAUUGGAAGAACACAUGUUGCUAAAAUGCUGAUACUACCUGAAACAGUCUAUACAUUCAAUGCAAUCCCUAUCAAAAUAACACCAGCAUUCUUCACAGAGCUAGAACAAACAAUCCUACAAUUUGUAUGGAACCAGAAGGACCCUGAAUAGACAAAGCAAUCCUGAGCAAGAAAACCAAAGGUGGAGACAUCACAAUUCCAGACUUCAAGCUGUAUUCCAAAGCUGUAAUCAUUAAGACAGUAUAGGACUGCUAGAAAGGCAGCACAUAGAUCAAUGCAACAGAAUAUAGAACCCAGAAAUGGACCCGCAAAUGUAUGGCCAGCUAGAAAGAUUAUCCAAUGGAAAAAAGAUAGUCUUUUCAGCAAAUGGUGUUGGGAAAACUGGACAGCGACAUACAGAAGAAUGAACCUGGACCACUUUCUUACACCAUACACAAAAAUUAAAAAUGGAUGAGAGACCUACAUGUGACAAAGGAAACCAUCAAAAUCCUACAGGAGAAAACAGGCAACAACCUCUUCGACCUUUAAGAGUCUCUUAUGGUUUGCCUCCCUCUCUGUGCCCCUUUGGAUCAGCAUUUUUGUAUCCUUUGGAUAAAUAUGUAGUAGUGCAAUUGCUGGGUUGUGGGAUAGUUCUACUUUUAAUUUUUUGAGGAACAUCCAUACUGUUUUCCAGAGUGGCUUCACCAGUUGGCAGCAACUUCUUACUAGACAUGUCUCUGGAGGCAAGAGAAAUAAAAAAAAAAUGAACUAUUGGGACCUCAUCAAGACAAAAAGCUUCUGCACAGCAAAGGAAACAAUCAACAAAACUAAAAAGCAACUGACGAAAUGGGAGAAGAUAUUUGUAAAUGACAUAUCCGAUAAAGGCAGAGAGAAGAAGGAGCUGUACCAUUCAACAUCAAGGAAGAAUUGUUAAUUAUAGAUCCCAACAGAAGACUCUUCAACAGGAAAGAAUGAUAAAUUAUAGGCCCCAACAGAGAAAGAUGUGUACUGCAUCACCUACAAGAAAUUGAUCACCCCUGCAAUUCAGCCAAUGAGAAAUGGUCAUCAUCCUGAACUCUUGCUUCUCUCCAGUGGACUUUCGUUCAAAAUAACCCCUCCCAGCUUCUUCUUUCUUUUCUAUAAAAUAAAAUUCCUCUCCUUUGUUUGUUGGACUUGCCUGUGGUUUUGCCAUAGCUUCUAUAUACCAAACUGCAAUUCUCUGCUAUUGUUGA